Molecule: transfer RNA, 121 nt
Filed under: Drosophila melanogaster (fruit fly)
Lineage: Eukaryota; Metazoa; Arthropoda; Insecta; Diptera; Drosophilidae
Rfam family: tRNA
About the family: Transfer RNA (tRNA) molecules are approximately 80 nucleotides in length. Their secondary structure includes four short double-helical elements and three loops (D, anti-codon, and T loops). Further hydrogen bonds mediate the characteristic L-shaped molecular structure. tRNAs have two regions of fundamental functional importance: the anti-codon, which is responsible for specific mRNA codon recognition, and the 3' end, to which the tRNAs corresponding amino acid is attached (by aminoacyl-tRNA synthetases). tRNAs cope with the degeneracy of the genetic code in two manners: having more than one tRNA (with a specific anti-codon) for a particular amino acid; and 'wobble' base-pairing, i.e. permitting non-standard base-pairing at the 3rd anti-codon position.
Source: Rfam by way of RNAcentral
CCUUCGAUAGCUCAGUUGGUAGAGCGGUGGACUGUAGAAGUUUUCAGAUCUGAUCACACUUUCCAGGUGAUCGAAUCCAGCAGGCAUCCAUAGGUCGCUGGUUCAAAUCCGGCUCGAAGGA